UGGACUGGUAUCCUCAGAAGGUCAAGUGGGGUGGACUGGUAUCCUCAGAAGGUCAAGUGGGGUGGACUGGUACCUUCAGAUGGUCACUGGGUUGGACCAGUACCUUCAGAUGAUCAAAUGGGGUGGACUGGUACCCUCAGGGGGUCAAGUGGGAUGGACUGGUACCAUUAGAAGGUCAGGUGGGGUGGACUGAUACCCUCAGAGGGUCAAGUGGGACGGACUGGUACCAUUAGAAGGUCAAGUGGGGUGGACUGGUACCAUCAGAAGAUCAAGUGGGGUGGACUGGUAUCCUCAGAAGGUCAAGAGGAGUGGACUGGUACCUUCAGAUGGUCAAUGGGGUGGACCAGUACUUUCAGAUGAUCAAAUGGGGUGGACUGGUACCCUCAGAGGGUCAAGUGGGAUGGACUGGUACCAUUAGAAGGUUAGGUGGGGUGGACUGAUACCCUCAGAGGGUCAAGUGGGACGGACUGGUACCCUCAGAGGGUCAAGUGGGGUGGACUGGUACCCUCAGGAGGUCAAGUAGGGUGGACUGGUACCCUCAGAAGGUUAAGUGGGGUGGACUGGUACUGUUAGAAGGUCAAGUGGGGUGGACUGAUACCCUCCGAGGGUCAAGUGGGGUGGACUGAUAUCCUCCGAGGGUCAAGUGGGGUGGACCAGUACCUUCAGAUGGUGAAGUAUUCAUCUUGUGAAAGGUUGAGGUGUAGCUCCAUCAAGACAUGUGCUGUGUUUCAGAAAACAUAGAGGCAGUUUACAAAUAGACAUAAAGACAGAAUGACUCUUUGUCAAAAAAAAACGAAGCCAGUGUCACAAAAGCCACCAAGUGUAGGCCAGCAGACCACUUCAAC
Long non-coding RNA from Erpetoichthys calabaricus (reedfish), 845 nucleotides. RefSeq lists it as uncharacterized. Lineage: Eukaryota; Metazoa; Chordata; Cladistia; Polypteriformes; Polypteridae. The transcript has 5 exons. The record is from RefSeq and is a predicted model, not a curated record.